This 1462-nucleotide long non-coding RNA is filed under the name Otus sunia (Oriental scops-owl). RNAcentral's name for it is "lncRNA (ENSOSUG00000003629.1)". Lineage: Eukaryota; Metazoa; Chordata; Aves; Strigiformes; Strigidae. The record is from RNAcentral.
GCCCUGUCAGUGAAAACAACUGCCUCUCUGAGAGUGACACGUGCAGCUCUUUGGAGACUCUGGAGUGCAGUAUCAGAGAACUGCAGGAAAAUGCAGAUGUUCCAACUGCUCUUCCCCAGGCAGAGCGAAUGGAGAAUUCAGUGCCUGUUGCUAGUGACAGUGACUGGGUUUCAAAUACAGGACUUGAACAACAGAAGCAGCAAAGCAGUCUGACAACUGUCACAAGAGCAGAUGAUCAAGAACACAAAGAAAGGGCUCUAAAUCCUGAACAGCCAUUGGACCUAAAUAAUCACAGCAACAUACCAGAAAUACCUCUAAACAUUUCAAACAACCUUAAUAAAGAGUCUUCUGUGCUAGGUACAGCAUCGAUCCAAUGCAACUCUGACACAGCAAAAGAAAAGGACAAGGAUAAAAGCAGUGCCCUAGUGUCAGAGGAUAUGCGCGGCAGCGAACAUGGGCAAAAUAUUUCUGGUGUGGCCAUGCUUAAUUUGCAAGAUUGCAACGAGCAAAACAAAACUGAUCUCAAGGCAGAAAAAAAAUGCCAAAGUAAGCAAACCUCAAACAAGCCCGAGCAGGAUAAUAAUUCUUUGAUCUCAGCUAGUCAGCAUGAAGCAGCAUGUCAUAGCGAUACGUUUUCUAAAGAAUCUGACAAGAAUGAACAGCCAGGCAGCGUAUGUGGGAUAAAGGAUAAUACUGGUGAAAGCCAUGCUGCUGCUAUAAACGCUCUUCCAGGGACACAGAAUUCAGCAAGUGCCACUAACAUAUCACAGGCUUUGCCAAGUGAUACAGAAAUAGCACAUACUUCUGAUAAUUCUGAGAAAAAUGAUCCUCAAAUAUCUCGUCCAGAAACUCAAGGGAAAAUGCCAUUAAUGGCAAAAAACUCGGAAAAGAUUGAAGAUCUGACUGCUGACAGGGAAAUCAUCCAGAAAGAUGGAAACAUGGAGUUAAAUUUUGAGGACAGCGCUUCUGUCACAGAAACAAGCAACAUGAAAAGUGAUAAAAGUCCAGGGGCACAAGGAUCUCUUUCACCAUUACCAGCACACGGGGAGGUAGUGCCCACUGAUCAGUCAUAUAAAUCCAGCUGCAUUCAAAAGACACCAGAGGAGCCUGGUUAUUGUCAAGCAAAUUUUACAGCCCUCUCUACACAGACCUCUGCACUCAGCCAUCCUAACCAGCAACCUGGAAACAAUGGUACUAGGGGGGUAUUACUAAAUAAUGAGCUGGAAGUUGUAGCAUGCCAAAAUGCCUUAGAAGGUAACUCUAAUUUGCAGAUGGCUGCAGGUUCUCAGGUGUCUGCGCACUUAGGUGCUUCACCCAGGGUAAGCACAGGUAAACCAGCCAAUUCAGAAAACAGCUCUGCGGGGAGUAUGCAUGUGAAUGAAGAAGAUGUUCCAGACCAAAGUUUUCAGGGUGAUGGAGACAGUUUAGCCCUGCCAGAGCCUUUAAAUGUGGGGCAGAGUAC